AUGCACUCGUCGGGUGCACUGGGGGGCCGAACGAGCGGAGAUGCUCUUAGUCUUGUUGGUAAAAUGUUCAUGUCAUCAACCAACAAGUUAUCAUACAACUACUCCAAUAGGUUGUAUCUAAGUUAUCCAAUAGAUGCGAUAAAAGGAUUGAAAGAAAACCCCACCUCCCAGAAUCAAUCAUCUUUAAUUUGCACAAGGGUUUCCUAUGACCCUCGCGUCGCUCCCACCGGGCAACUCGGGGGAGACCAAGCUCGCAGCCGUCGGUCCCCCUCCGUCGGCGCCCUCCUCUCCACCGCUGCCGCCGGCUCGGCCGCGGUGGCGGCGGCCCCGUCUCCGAAGGCAGCAUGGGGAGAUCCACGGUGGACGCUUCGCUGGGCGUGGGCGCGAGAUGCGCCAUUCGUGGCGGCGACGCUGGUGCGUGCGAGCUGCACUCACCUGCCUCCUGCGGGAGUGGUGGGAGUGCCAGCGGCCGAGCUGGAUGCGUGGCCGGCGGUGACCGACGCGGACGGGCCAGAUCCGUGCGUCCUUGGCUGCUUCCCCGCGGUGGAUCUGGCCUGGUACCUGGAUCCGUGCGUGCGUCCGGCUACAGGCGUCGGCGCGGGGCUGGUGGCUCGUGGAUCUCGCUGCACGCGGCCGGGGCUGGUGCUGGUGCUCGCCGACCAAGCGGGGGAUGGGUGCGUGGAGGAGGGGUGGUGGGCGGUGGAGGUGCUGCAACAGCAAGGUUCGAUCCCCCCGCCUUCAGUCUGCACUGCGGGCGCUUCGGAUCUGGCCUCCGGCAGGCGUGCGGUGGUGCGCGUGGGCGCGUCGGCGUGCCUGAUGUAUGGCUGCAGCCCGGAACCAUGGUGGUUCUUGGCCUCGGGCAGCGCCCCUCUGCUCUUUGCCGGCAUGGUGCUUGGUGGGGCACGGUGGCUCGCGUUGCGUCCGGUGGCUCUGCGUCCGGUCGGCCUUUGGUGGAUCUGGCGUCUAGUGUUGAGUUUGGCCGUCAGUGGUCUCCGCGAGGUGCAGCUGGCUGAGGCGGUUGGUCGUGCUUCUUCAUCGAUGGAGGGUUCGACGGCGGUGGUGGUCGGCUGCCGUCUUGCUGUAGGGAUGUGCUCAAACUCCGGAUCGGGCUUGCCGGAUCGGAUGACGGUGUUGUGUGCUCGACAGCACUACCUUCUUGGAGGCGUCGUCUUGGAGACCCAAACAACGGUUGUUGUUGUUUUGUUUCUCUUCGGCUGUCCUACGUGUGGUCUCCGGCCUGCUACUAUGCAUGCUCAUGACCCUGUUCUGUUGAGGCGAGCUUCGGGCUCUUGGUCUCGUCUUGGUUCACCUUUGCUCAAUGACGACAUAAUGAUGCCUCCCCGACUUGCUAAUCGUCUUGAACUUUCGUGGCGGAGCGCUCAAUCAAGGUUCAUGUUAAGCUUUGGCACAAGGUGGAGGGACUCCUCCCCCGGUGAUUCUCAGAACAAAAACCACCUCCCACAUCCCAUCUCCCUUUUGCAGGUCGAACCCUUCCUUGCCAACCAGCCACGCCCAUGCACGCACAUAAAAACCGCGGAAAACCACCCGCUCCACCUAUCGGCGCCGUUUCUUCUCCACCAUCCACGGACUUACGGUCUAUUAGGGCGAAAAAAAUAUCUCCUACUGUCCUACAUUGUCACCUGCGAAUGCGCCGUUGCCGCCGCCCGCACUGGUCCCACGCUAUUCCUUGAUGGCAUGGCCUUGUCCUCGUCAUGUCUAGCAUCAUGCCGUCCGACAUGGGCACCGUCGCCAUGGCCCAUGGUGUUCCUCCUCGACGGCAUGCCGCGAGACGCUACCAUCAAGAUGUUUGUGGCGCCAGACCCAACGAAAUCUUGUGCUUGCAUACUGGAGACCUGCGGGGAAGCUCGCUUCCUCUUCCACAUGUAUGCAGUCUGCGCUAUGAUGUACACCCGUGGAAAUGACGAAUCUGAGAAGGGUCGACGCGAGAAGGCAAGUUUAUUGAGCCUUAUAAGGUCCGACGACGGUGAUCGGAUAACUAUAGCAAGCGCUGAACAUUCAUGUAUCAGCAACAACAAGGCUUUCUCUUUGGUUGGUGGUCGAAUAGGAGGCUCAGAUGCACCUGAUAUCAUAGCCAUUGAAUGUUGUUUUGCGAUUCGGGAAAUAAGUCACGAGGUGACAGCCUUGGUGCUUGGAAAAAUCACGUAUUGGGGGAAUACACGAGUGAACAGGGCCAUACGAUGGGGCCACUGCGUAGCGCGCGAGGUGUGGAUAGACGGCGCCGUGCGGUGUUGGAUUCUGAUCCGUGGCCCAUUCUGUCAACCCGUGAUGCGUGUUUUGACUUUUGACCAAGCCGUGGCACAGACUUUGGCGAUGGGUGUUCAGCGGCCCGUUCCAAAAUCCUGGGAUGAGAGGGCGUCGGCGCCGGUGAAAGGCCACGGCGAGGCAAUGGCGGAGGACGACGGGCUGGAUUUCCUACAAGAUCCGGUUUCCCGCCGGGGAUUGCAGAUAGCUUGGAGCAGCAGGGUCCGGUCCGUCUACUGCCUCUUGCUGGGAAAGAAUCUGACUUGCCUAUGGCGGCCGAGUUCAACGGGACGUCGGCAUGCGCUGAAGUUCUUGGCAGACUGUCCAGUACCUGUGUCAAAGGCAAGAGUGGAGCAGAGUAAGAAAGCAUCGCCGACGCAGUUAGCUGAACCACAUGCAAGUGCGUUCUGCAUGUGGCCAUCUGUGGGAGAGGUCCAGUACGUUCCAGUUGCUGGUCUAGAACGUCAAGUUCCGUCUGUGCCGAUGCUGUGUGGUUCAGAUUUCGAGAGCAUCUAA
This 2778-nucleotide ribosomal RNA is filed under the name Triticum aestivum (bread wheat). Its description in RNAcentral is "partial small subunit ribosomal RNA". Lineage: Eukaryota; Viridiplantae; Streptophyta; Magnoliopsida; Poales; Poaceae. The record is from RNAcentral.